This 230-nucleotide ribosomal RNA is filed under the name uncultured bacterium. RNAcentral describes it as "partial 16S ribosomal RNA". It matches the Rfam family "Bacterial small subunit ribosomal RNA", at positions 95 to 334 of the family's 1533-position model. The record is from RNAcentral.
UAGGCGUACGGGUGAGUAACACGUGGAUCAUCUACCUCUUUGUGGGGGGAGUAAACCCCUGGGAAACCGGGGCUAAUACCGCAUAAGCUCGAGAGAGGAAAGCAGCAAUGCGCAGAGAGAGGAGUCCGCGGCCGAUUAUGCUAGUUGGUAGGGUAAAAGCCUACCAAGGCUAAGAUCGGUAGCCGGCCUGAGAGGGCACACGGCCACACUGGCACUGAAACACGGGCCAG